CAGUAGCCGCGGUAAUACAGAGGGUGCGAGCGUUAAUCGGAAUUACUGGGCGUAAAGCGCACGUAGGCGGCUUGGUAAGUUAGAGGUGAAAGCCUGGAGCUCAACUCCAGAAUUGCCUUUAAGACUGCCGAGCUAGCAGGUGAGAGAGGUAAGUGGAAUUCCGAGUGUAGAGGUGAAAUUCGUAGAUAUUCGGAAGAACACCAGUGGCGAAGGCGGCUUACUGGCUCAUACUGGACGCUGAGGUGCGAAAGCGUGGGGAGCAAACAGGAUUAGAUACCCCCGUAGUCCCUGUCUCUUAUAC
RNAcentral lists this ribosomal RNA (301 nucleotides) under uncultured bacterium. RNAcentral's name for it is "partial 16S ribosomal RNA". It matches the Rfam family "Bacterial small subunit ribosomal RNA", at positions 509 to 807 of the family's 1533-position model. The record is from RNAcentral.